Molecule: transfer RNA, 72 nt
Filed under: Priapulus caudatus
Lineage: Eukaryota; Metazoa; Priapulida; Priapulimorpha; Priapulimorphida; Priapulidae
Description: tRNA-Thr
Rfam family: tRNA
About the family: Transfer RNA (tRNA) molecules are approximately 80 nucleotides in length. Their secondary structure includes four short double-helical elements and three loops (D, anti-codon, and T loops).
Source: RNAcentral
GGCGCCAUGGCUUAGUUGCAAAGCGCCUGUCUAGUAAACAGGAGAUCCCCGGUUCAAUCCGGGGUGGUGCCU